AGAGUUUGAUCCUGGCUCAGAUUGAACGCUGGCGACGUGCUUAACACAUGCAAGUCGUGCGAGAAAGGAGACUUCGGUCUCUGAGUAGAGCGGCGCACGGGUGAGUAACGCGUGGAUGAUCUACCCUUGAGUUCGGGAUAACGGUGCGAAAGCGCCGCUAAUACCGUAUAACAAUCCAUUUCAUCGCGGGUUCAAAGCAGGCCUCUUCAUGAAAGCUUGCGCUUGGGGAUGAGUCCGCGUCCCAUUAGCUUGUUGGCGGGGUAACGGCCCACCAAGGCUACGAUGGGUAGCUGGUCUGAGAGGAUGAUCAGCCACACUGGAACUGAAACACGGUCCAGACUCCUACGGGAGGCAGCAGUGGGGAAUAUUGCGCAAUGGGGGAAACCCUGACGCAGCGACGUCGUGUGAGGGAAGAAGGCCUUCGGG
RNAcentral lists this ribosomal RNA (426 nucleotides) under uncultured bacterium. Its description in RNAcentral is "bacterial SSU rRNA". It matches the Rfam family "Bacterial small subunit ribosomal RNA", at positions 8 to 422 of the family's 1533-position model. The record is from RNAcentral.